CUGGUGUCAGCCGCCGCGGUAAUACCAGCACCCCGAGUGGUCGGGACGUUUAUUGGGCCUAAAGCAUCCGUAGCCGGUUCUACAAGUCUUCCGUUAAAUCCACCUGCUUAACAGAUGGGCUGCGGAAGAUACUAUAGAGCUAGGAGGCGGGAGAGGCAAGCGGUACUCGAUGGGUAGGGGUAAAAUCCGUUGAUCCAUUGAAGACCACCAGUGGCGAAGGCGGCUUGCCAGAACGCGCUCGACGGUGAGGGAUGAAAGCUGGGGGAGCAAACCGGAUUAGAUACCCGGGUAGUCCCAGCUGUAAACGAUGCAGACUCGGUGAUGAGUUGGCUUACUGCUAACUCAGUGCCGCAGGGAAGCCGUUAAGUUUGCCGCCUGGGGAGUACGGUCGCAAGACUGAAACUUAAAG
Molecule: ribosomal RNA, 409 nt
Filed under: uncultured Nitrososphaerota archaeon
Lineage: Archaea; Thermoproteati; Nitrososphaerota
Description: bacterial SSU rRNA
Rfam family: Archaeal small subunit ribosomal RNA
Source: RNAcentral